This 1061-nucleotide small RNA is filed under the name Histoplasma capsulatum. Its description in RNAcentral is "hypothetical RNA". Lineage: Eukaryota; Fungi; Ascomycota; Eurotiomycetes; Onygenales; Ajellomycetaceae. RNAcentral also lists the same sequence under 1 other name. The record is from RNAcentral.
GAUCAGACAGUGACUCUCAGAACUACCAAUGGAUCACUCAGAGUGCAAGUCUACAUCAAAACCUCAGCUAUGUUAUUUCAUCCACCAUGACAGACCUUAUCAAAUGUCUUAGGUGUGGAGUUUUGUGUUUUACCAUAUUGAAUGUGAGGGCAAGUCGUACGCUUUAAUGCUGGUAUGUUGGCUACUUUUUCUUUAUCCAAAUUAACUCAGAUUGUGAUCUGUUUGCUAUAUCCUGGUUACAUACCACAAACACAUUUGUCCUGCAUUUCUCAGCUAGGCACUGGCCAUACCCAGGGAGGGAUUUCUCAUGCAAACUCAAAAAACAUGAGAGGAUACUGACAACUCCUUUCAUUCAUGAGGCCUGUGCUUUUUCUUGUCUUGACAGCAUUGGGGACAACAGCACAUGAGAAGUAAAAUGUCAUGAGUGCAUUAAGCUUGAUAACAAUCAGUUCAAAGGCUUAGACAACAAGGAUCACAUAUUCUGUCAAUGAGCAAUCAUCAAGGAUUUUCUUCCUGAGAAAAUCAGCAUAAGUGAUAUCUCUGAAGUACAUCACAAAAUACAAAUAGCUUGUAGUGCUAUGCUAUGUGGCCUGAUGAUGUCAAAUCCAAGAACUGUAGUGGCUCAUUCAUUGUGGAUUUGGGUAGCACAGCCACUUACCCUGAAAUCCAUUGUUUCUGGUUGAGUACAAGACGCAGGUAGCGCUUUGCUGAUAUAGAUCAAUGUUUUAUGGAUUGGGAGCCAUCUGAUUGGGACAGUGAACUUGUGGAUAAGUUUUUCAAUGACAUGCAUAAGGAAAAUGUGGCAAUUUCAAAAAAAAAAAAAAAAAAGAAAAAAAUGGAGGAGAGGGCGUUGAGGAAGGAGCAGGAAUAGCAGAAAGAGCGAUUUGCAAAGAGAGAACCCCAGCGACCAAACCCUAAUUGGGAAGAAUUCAACAUUUACCCAAGGGGUCGGUUGACUACGAUUUCAAUAUUCUUGAGUUGAUUUUAGCAAAAGGGUUUUUUUUUUUUUUUCAAUUGACAUCUAUUUAGUUUGUUUUAUAUGCGUCAGCUUUUAAAUUGAU